This 700-nucleotide ribosomal RNA is filed under the name uncultured bacterium. RNAcentral's name for it is "bacterial SSU rRNA". It matches the Rfam family "Bacterial small subunit ribosomal RNA", at positions 94 to 792 of the family's 1533-position model. The record is from RNAcentral.
ACCGGCGCACGGGUGCGUAACGCGUAUGCAAUCUACCUUGUACAGGGGAAUAGCCCAGAGAAAUUUGGAUUAAUGCCCCAUAGUAUAUAACCUUCGCAUGUUGGUUAUAUUAAAGUUCCAACGGUACAAGAUGAGCAUGCGUCCCAUUAGUUAGUUGGUAAGGUAACGGCUUACCAAGACGAUGAUGGGUAGGGGUCCUGAGAGGGAGAUCCCCCACACUGGUACUGAGACACGGACCAGACUCCUACGGGAGGCAGCAGUGAGGAAUAUUGGUCAAUGGUCGCAAGACUGAACCAGCCAUGCCGCGUGCAGGAAGACGGUCCUAUGGAUUGUAAACUGCUUUUAUACAGGAAGAAACCCUCCCACGUGUGGGAGCUUGACGGUACUGUAGGAAUAAGGAUCGGCUAACUCCGUGCCAGCAGCCGCGGCAAUACGGAGGAUCCAAGCGUUAUCCGGAAUCAUUGGGUUUAAAGGGUCCGUAGGCGGUCUUAUAAGUCAGUGGUGAAAGCCCAUCGCUCAACGAUGGAACUGCCAUUGAUACUGUAAGACUUGAAUGCUUAGGAAGUAACUAGAAUAUGUAGUGUAGCGGUGAAAUGCUUAGAUAUUACAUGGAAUACCAAUUGCGAAGGCAGGUUACUACUAAGUGAUUGACGCUGAUGGACGAAAGCGUGGGGAGCGAACAGGAUUAGAUACCCUGGUA